AANUUCGGGGUGGCAGGCGAUACGGGCAUAACUAGAGUGCUGUAGGGGAGACUGGAAUUCCNGGUGUAGCGGUGGAAUGCGCAGAUAUCAGGAGGAACACCGAUGGCGAAGGCAGGUCUCUGGGCAGUAGCUGACGCUGAGGAGCGAAAGCAUGGGGAGCGAACAGGAUUAGAUACCCUGGUAGUCCAUGCUGUAAACGGUGGGCGUUAGGUGUGGGGACCGGUUUGGUUUCUGUGCCGUAGCUAACGCAUUAAGCGCCCCGCCUGGGGAGUACGGCCGCAAGGCUAAAACUCAAAGGAAUUGACGGGGGCCCGCACAAGCGGCGGAGCAUGUGGAUUAAUUCGAUGCAACGCGAAGAACCUUACCUGGGUUUGACAUGCACCAGACGGUUGUAGAGAUACGUACCUCCCUUUGUGGUUGGUGUGCAGGUGGUGCAUGGUUGUCGUCAGCUCGUGUCGUGAGAUGUUGGGUUAAGUCCCGCAACGAGCGCAACCCUUGUCUUAUGUUGCCAGCACUUUGGGUGGGGGCUCAUGAGAGACUGCCGGGGUUAACUCGGAGGAAGGUGGGGGUGACGUCAAAUCAUCAUGCCCUUUAUGCCCAGGGCUUCACACAUGCUACAAUGGUUAGUACAACGCGCUGCGAGCCUGUGAGGGUGAGCGAAUCGCUGAAAGCUAAUCUCAGUUCGGAUUGGGGUCUGCAACUCGACCCCAUGAAGUCGGAGUCGCUAGUAAUCGCGGAUCAGCAAUGCUGCGGUGAAUACGUUCCCGGGCCUUGUACACACCGCCCGUCACGUCAUGAAAGUUGGUAACACCCGAAGCCCAUGG
RNAcentral lists this ribosomal RNA (824 nucleotides) under uncultured bacterium. Its description in RNAcentral is "bacterial SSU rRNA". It matches the Rfam family "Bacterial small subunit ribosomal RNA", at positions 611 to 1433 of the family's 1533-position model. The record is from RNAcentral.